GAGUUUGAUCGUGGCUCAGAUUGAACGCUGGCGGCAUGCCUUACACAUGCAAGUCGAACGGCAGCACGGGAGCUUGCUCCUGGUGGCGAGUGGCGAACGGGUGAGUAAUGCAUCGGAACGUAUCCUGGAGUGGGGAUAACGUAGCGAAGUUACGCUAAUACCGCAUAUUCUGUGAGCAGGAAAGCGGGGGACCUUCGGGCCUCGCGCUCUUGGAGCGGCCGAUGUCGGAUUAGCUAGUUGGUGAGGUAAAGGCUCACCAAGGCGACGAUCCGUAGCAGGUC
RNAcentral lists this ribosomal RNA (281 nucleotides) under bacterium enrichment culture clone ALO1_GLFRUDD03GE7JD. RNAcentral's name for it is "partial 16S ribosomal RNA". It matches the Rfam family "Bacterial small subunit ribosomal RNA", at positions 9 to 292 of the family's 1533-position model. The record is from RNAcentral.